Long non-coding RNA from Octopus sinensis (East Asian common octopus), 896 nucleotides. RefSeq lists it as uncharacterized. NCBI's taxonomy places the organism in Eukaryota, Metazoa, Mollusca, Cephalopoda, Octopoda, Octopodidae. The transcript has 2 exons. The record is from RefSeq and is a predicted model, not a curated record.
UUUUCAUGUGACAUUUCAGUUGUUAGUUUUCACUCAAUUUAUUUUUAAUAUUUCUGAUCAAACAUAAAAUGAACUCAGUUGAAACGGUUUUUACUGAUUGACAUUUUGACCAAAAUCUUGUUUUUAUAAUACACAAGUCCUUUUGAAAUGUUUCUCUGAGACAAAAUAUUAUAGCUAGUGACUGUCUGUGUCUGUAUACACAUUAUAUAUAAAUGUUAUCCACAAAAGCAUUUUAAUAAUUUUUGGUCUAAUUCAAAAUAUAUGUCCCUGUGUAAUUUGGACAGAUAACUGCACCACACUACCAAACAACUUCACAUGUUCGAACACACUAUUUUCACUGGCCUUUCAUAUAUUCUUAAUAUUAUGAAAGCUAUGUCUAGGUGACCUGGUUUUCCAUCUUCAGAACUAUAAAUAUCUAAGCUAUAGUUGCUCUGCAGGGCAGAGUAUGUUGCACAAUAUAAACACUUUUCUUAUAUUGGUUCACUUGUUUUGAUUACCUGCAUCUUAGAUUGUAUUUGGAAAGCCAUCUUCCUAAUAGAUAAACUUUUAUUUAUAGAAAAAUCUUCAUAAAUCGUCCCCACUGUCAUAUUGUGCUCUUGUGCUUUUUCUACUGAUACUAUUAGGAGUUCUAUUUUUCAGAAUUGUUUGGUAGAAUGCCAUCUUAUUUCACCCACCUCCUGCUUCUUUUCACCAGAACUAUUUAUUUCAUUAGACCUGUUAUCAAAACAGAGGUGGCCCCUUCUCUCCCAUGUAUUGUGAUCUCACUAUACAUUAACCUUCAAACUCUAAAUCUCAUUAACAAUGCCUGUUUCCCUCACUUCUCUUCUUUUCGAUUCAAGAAUGGUAGAAUGAUGAUAUAGAUAAAACAGUUCCUUCUUAAAUACAGUGACAAAAAA